Molecule: ribosomal RNA, 647 nt
Filed under: Salmonella enterica
Lineage: Bacteria; Pseudomonadati; Pseudomonadota; Gammaproteobacteria; Enterobacterales; Enterobacteriaceae
Also listed under: 3 other names
Description: bacterial SSU rRNA
Rfam family: Bacterial small subunit ribosomal RNA
Source: RNAcentral
UGAAGAGUUUGAUCAUGGCUCAGAUUGAACGCUGGCGGCAGGCCUAACACAUGCAAGUCGAACGGUAACAGGAAGCAGCUUGCUGCUUUGCUGACGAGUGGCGGACGGGUGAGUAAUGUCUGGGAAACUGCCUGAUGGAGGGGGAUAACUACUGGAAACGGUGGCUAAUACCGCAUAACGUCGCAAGACCAAAGAGGGGGACCUUCGGGCCUCUUGCCAUCAGAUGUGCCCAGAUGGGAUUAGCUUGUUGGUGAGGUAACGGCUCACCAAGGCGACGAUCCCUAGCUGGUCUGAGAGGAUGACCAGCCACACUGGAACUGAGACACGGUCCAGACUCCUACGGGAGGCAGCAGUGGGGAAUAUUGCACAAUGGGCGCAAGCCUGAUGCAGCCAUGCCGCGUGUAUGAAGAAGGCCUUCGGGUUGUAAAGUACUUUCAGCGGGGAGGAAGGUGUUGUGGUUAAUAACCGCAGCAAUUGACGUUACCCGCAGAAGAAGCACCGGCUAACUCCGUGCCAGCAGCCGCGGUAAUACGGAGGGUGCAAGCGUUAAUCGGAAUUACUGGGCGUAAAGCGCACGCAGGCGGUCUGUCAAGUCGGAUGUGAAAUCCCCGGGCUCAACCUGGGAACUGCAUUCGAAACUGGCAGGC